This 468-nucleotide ribosomal RNA is filed under the name uncultured bacterium. RNAcentral describes it as "partial 16S ribosomal RNA". It matches the Rfam family "Bacterial small subunit ribosomal RNA", at positions 28 to 507 of the family's 1533-position model. The record is from RNAcentral.
GAUGAACGCUGGCGGCGUGCUUAAUACAUGCAAGUCGAACGGUGAAGGCGGAGCUUGCUCUGCUGGAUCAGUGGCGAACGGGUGAGUAACACGUGAGCAAUCUGCCCCUGACUCUGGGAUAAGCGCUGGAAACGGCGUCUAAUACUGGAUACGAGCUGCGAAGGCAUCUUCAGCAGCUGGAAAGAAUUUCGGUCAGGGAUGAGCUCGCGGCCUAUCAGCUUGUUGGUGAGGUAAUGGCUCACCAAGGCGUCGACGGGUAGCCGGCCUGAGAGGGUGACCGGCCACACUGGGACUGAGACACGGCCCAGACUCCUACGGGAGGCAGCAGUGGGGAAUAUUGCACAAUGGGCGAAAGCCUGAUGCAGCAACGCCGCGUGAGGGACGACGGCCUUCGGGUUGUAAACCUCUUUUAGCAGGGAAGAAGCGAAAGUGACAGUACCUGCAGAAAAAGCGCCGGCUAACUACGUG